UACGUAGGGGGCAAGCGUUGUCCGGAUUUAUUGGGCGUAAAGAGCUCGUAGGUGGUUCGGUAAGUCGGAUGUGAAAUCUCCAGGCUCAACCUGGAGGGGUCAUUCGAUACUGCCGUGACUAGAGGUCGGUAGGGGAGUGUGGAAUUCCUGGUGGAGCGGUGAAAUGCGCAGAUAUCAGGAGGAACACCCGUAGCGAAGGCGGCACUCUGGGACGGUACUGACGCUGAGACGCGAAAGCGUGGGGAGCGAACAGG
Molecule: ribosomal RNA, 254 nt
Filed under: uncultured bacterium
Lineage: Bacteria
Description: partial 16S ribosomal RNA
Rfam family: Bacterial small subunit ribosomal RNA
Source: RNAcentral